CGUAGGGUGCGAGCGUUAAUCGGAAUUACUGGGCGUAAAGCGUGCGCAGGCGGUUUUAUAAGUCUGAUGUGAAAUCCCCGGGCUCAACCUGGGAACUGCAUUGGAGACUGUAAGGCUAGAGUGUGUCAGAGGGGGGUAGAAUUCCACGUGUAGCAGUGAAAUGCGUAGAUAUGUGGAGGAAUACCGAUGGCGAAGGCAGCCCCCUGGGAUAACACUGACGCUCAUGCACGAAAGCGUGGGGAGCAAACAGGAUUAGAUACCCUGGUAGUCCACGCCCUAAACGAUGUCUACUAGUUGUCGGGUCUUAAUUGACUUGGUAACGCAGCUAACGCGUGAAGUAGACCGCCUGGGGAGUACGGUCGCAAGAUUA
RNAcentral lists this ribosomal RNA (370 nucleotides) under uncultured organism. Its description in RNAcentral is "bacterial SSU rRNA". It matches the Rfam family "Bacterial small subunit ribosomal RNA", at positions 526 to 896 of the family's 1533-position model. The record is from RNAcentral.